This 468-nucleotide ribosomal RNA is filed under the name uncultured bacterium. Its description in RNAcentral is "partial 16S ribosomal RNA". It matches the Rfam family "Bacterial small subunit ribosomal RNA", at positions 28 to 507 of the family's 1533-position model. The record is from RNAcentral.
GACGAACGCUGGCGGCGUGCUUAACACAUGCAAGUCGAACGGAAAGGCCCUGCUUUUGUGGGGUGCUCGAGUGGCGAACGGGUGAGUAACACGUGAGUAACCUGCCCUUGACUUUGGGAUAACUUCAGGAAACUGGGGCUAAUACCGGAUAGGAGCUCCUGCUGCAUGGUGGGGGUUGGAAAGGUUCUGCGGUUGGGGAUGGACUCGCGGCUUAUCAGCUUGUUGGUGGGGUAGUGGCUUACCACGGCUUUGACGGGUAGCCGGCCUGAGAGGGUGACCGGCCACAUUGGGACUGAGAUACGGGCCAGCAUCCUACGGGAGUCAGCAGUGGGGAAUAUUGCACAAUGGGCGGAAGCCUGAUGCAGCAACGCCGCGUGCGGGAUGACGGCCUUCGGGUUGUAAACCGCUUUCGCCUGUGACGAAGCGUGAGUGACGGUAAUGGGUAAAGAAGCACCGGCUAACUACGUG